RNAcentral lists this ribosomal RNA (460 nucleotides) under uncultured bacterium. RNAcentral's name for it is "partial 16S ribosomal RNA". It matches the Rfam family "Bacterial small subunit ribosomal RNA", at positions 338 to 795 of the family's 1533-position model. The record is from RNAcentral.
CCUACGGGAGGCAACAGUGAGGAAUAUUGGUCAAUGGACGAGAGUCUGAACCAGCCAAGUAGCGUGAAGGAUGACUGCCCUAUGGGUUGUAAACUUCUUUUAUAUGGGAAUAAAAUGUUCCACGUGUGGGAUUUUGUAUGUACCAUAUGAAUACGGAUCGGCUAACUCCGUGCCAGCAGCCGCGGUAAUACGGAGGAUCCGAGCGUUAUCCGGAUUUAUUGGGUUUAACGGGAGCGUAGGUGGAUUGUUAAGUCAGUUGUGAAAGUUUGCGGCUCAACCGUAAAAUUGCAGUGGAUACUGGCAGUCUUGAGUACAGUAGAGGUAGGCGGAAUUCGUGGUGUAGCGGUGAAAUGCUUAGAUAUCACGAAGAACUCCGAUUGCGAAGGCAGUUCACUGGACUGCAACUGACACUGAGGCUCGAAAGUGUGGGUAUCAAACAGGAUUAGAUACCCCUGUAGUC